GAUGAACGCUGGCGGCGUGCCUAAUACAUGCAAGUCGAACGCACAGCGAAAGGUGCUUGCACCUUUCAAGUGAGUGGCGAACGGGUGAGUAACACGUGGAUAACCUACCUCAAGGUUGGGGAUAACAUUUGGAAACAGAUGCUAAUACCGAAUAAAACUUCGUAUCGCAUGAUACAAGGUUAAAAGGCGCUACGGCGUCACCUAGAGAUGGAUCCGCGGUGCAUUAGUUAGUUGGUGGGUAAAGGCCGUACCAAGACAAUGAUGCAUAAGCCGAGUUGAGAGACUGAUCGGCCACAUUGGGACUGAGACACGGCCCAAACU
RNAcentral lists this ribosomal RNA (321 nucleotides) under uncultured bacterium. RNAcentral's name for it is "bacterial SSU rRNA". It matches the Rfam family "Bacterial small subunit ribosomal RNA", at positions 28 to 337 of the family's 1533-position model. The record is from RNAcentral.